Gopherus evgoodei (Goodes thornscrub tortoise) is the source of this 100-nucleotide long non-coding RNA. RefSeq lists it as uncharacterized. The record is from RefSeq and is a predicted model, not a curated record. Lineage: Eukaryota; Metazoa; Chordata; Testudines; Testudinidae. The transcript is spliced from 3 exons.
GGUGGACAAUUCAUGAGUUUACCCUGUAUAAGCUUUAUACAGAGUAAAACGGAUUUAUAUGGAAUUUGGAUCUCAUUGGGAGCUGGAAAUACAGAUUUUG